Molecule: long non-coding RNA, 1897 nt
Organism: Prunus avium (sweet cherry)
Lineage: Eukaryota; Viridiplantae; Streptophyta; Magnoliopsida; Rosales; Rosaceae
Source: RefSeq, a predicted model, not a curated record
CGUCUGUUUUACAAGUUCUUUAUAUACUUACGCUUAAGAACUAAGCUUGUCCCUUCGGGGACAUCCGAUAAAAUUGGAACGAUACAGAGAAGAUUAGCAUGGCCCCUGCGCAAGGAUGACACGCAUAAAUCGAGAAAUGGUCCAAAUUUUUUUGCUCUUUUUUCUGCCAAAUUUUUUUUGCCCUUUGAAGUCUUCGAUGGUUCGGUGGCUUCGUCUUUGAUCUUCCAGGUGGAGGGUUUCAGUAAACUCAAAAAUUGGUUGGUGCUGUGCCAUUGUCAAGAACCCGAACAUGUGGAGCUGGGUUUGGGACUUUUGGUGUCUGAACUGAGUGAAGAGCCAAGGAAAGGAAGGCUCAUUGGUGGAGAAGAAGAUGAGCCAGACAGGAUACAAGGCGAUCAUGAUCUUAAGUCCAAGUGCGAGUUGAUCAUGAUCUUAAGUCCAAGUGUGAGUUGAUCAUGUGGAAGUGUAGUGUUUUGGGGGCUUUUGAUUUAAUUUUGGAGGUGGUUGUGAAUGCGAAUUUGAAGGCAGAGCAGAUGAUCAAGAAGGUGAUUGUGUUCACCGAACUACAUCCACUUGAUAGCCGCACCUGAUAUCUUGUUCAGCACGAGUUACUAGAAGAUAUAGAAGGAAAUAUACAAAGAUAUCAUUCGGAAGCAAAGAUAUAUCUUGUAUAUAUCUUGUAUCUAUCUCCUACAUCCACCUGCUUUUGCUGCUGCUUUAGGUACAAGUCCUCCACCAUUGCCUUCCACUGAAAGCCACUUCCCCGACAUCCUCAUCUUGUACAUAUUUUAUGAUCUCAUUCGGAAGCAAAGCAUCCAGCUUUAUUAUGCUAAUGUCACCUCCUCCUACUGCUGCUGCUUUCACCUUCUUCAAAUACUUCUUAACCACACAGGGCUCUCGGCCUUGACGAUUGUAGUAAUUGGUCAAGGGCCCCAAAAACUCAUUAUGUAGCCAUUUCAACUCCCACUCUUGUGAUUGAUCUGAUUCGGGCAGGGCAAGCCUUCUGGCGAUGCUUUCAAGCAGAAAAAUGGUGCCGGUCCAGUGCUUGUGCCCGACUCGUGUGGAAGUGCAACACUCUGCAGCCCUGGAUACCAAAAGAUGCGAAUUCAUUUUGUCUAUAUCAGACUUCAAAUGCUCCACGAAAAUAUCAAUAACUCGAUCAUGUAACAAUCUAUAUAAUCCAGGUCACGGUGGUACCUCUCAGGAUGAAGACGCAGAUGCGCAGCAGCGUCGUGAUCUUGGUCGCUGUCUCAUUUCGGAACUAGAACCUUGUAGAGAAUUUGGACAAGGUUGUACCACCAACCCCCAUGGUGGAGAUAGCGGACAAGAGGCAAGUUGGCAAUAAAGUGGAGGUGCGUAACAGAGUCUUGGGGUGGUUGUGGUGGAGCCAAAGCACGGCCGUGUUGAACUUUGUGUCAGAAAAAUCGAUUGAAUCGAAGGUGAAGAUGAGCUUGAGGGUGGUGAGGGGACUGUGGGACCAGGCCAAGGGGAGCAGUUGCUCCAGAUAUGUAAGGCAGGGGUUAGCAUCUCUCCAUUCCGGUCUGAGGGCGUUGAAGAAGAGAUCAAGGCAGGGGUGACCGUAGGAGGAGGAGGGAAUACAAGGCCAGAGGCUGUUGUUGUUUGCAAUGUCAGCGUUGGCGUUAGAAAGUAGCCAUUAAUCUCCUUCUUUCUAUUGGUGUGGUUGGAGCUACUACUAGUUGUGAGGGUGAAGAAAUGAAAAUAUUGCCGCCUAAUCUGCGUUUGCCAACGACAUUGACAAGGUUUCGGUUUCGGAGGCAUCCUCCUGCUGAUCCCCCUGCUGCUGCUGCUUUGUACCGAUUCACACUCGUCAAACACACUUGCCCCGGCUCCACUGCUUUAUUCAUCUGAAUCAUCAUCUCUCAGUGGUUGGUUGUUU